GACGAACGCUGGCGGCGUGCUUAACACAUGCAAGUCGAACGAGAGGAGAAGGAAGCUUGCUUCUUUCAAAUCUAGUGGCAAACGGGUGAGUAACACGUAAACAACCUGUCUUCAGGAUGGGGACAACAGACGGAAACGACUGCUAAUACCGAAUACGUUCCUUAGGUCGCAUGACUUUAGGAAGAAAGGGUGGCCUCUACUUGUAAGCUAUCGCCUGAAGAGGGGUUUGCGUCUGAUUAGGUAGUUGGUGAGGUAACGGCCCACCAAGCCGACGAUCAGUAGCCGGUCUGAGAGGAUGAACGGCCACACUGGAACUGAGACACGGUCCAGACUCCUACGGGGAGGCAGCAGUGGGAAUCUU
This 361-nucleotide ribosomal RNA is filed under the name uncultured bacterium. RNAcentral's name for it is "bacterial SSU rRNA". It matches the Rfam family "Bacterial small subunit ribosomal RNA", at positions 28 to 365 of the family's 1533-position model. The record is from RNAcentral.